Molecule: long non-coding RNA, 1377 nt
Organism: Megalopta genalis
Lineage: Eukaryota; Metazoa; Arthropoda; Insecta; Hymenoptera; Halictidae
Source: RefSeq, a predicted model, not a curated record
UAGCUAAAUAUUAAUAUGUAAGUAUCGUUCUAGAAAAAUAUUUGGGAUAUGAAAGUAGCCGCACACGAGUUACGUAAGAAGUUAUCACACAUGAGAAAUUUUUCGGAAGAUCGUUGGUUGGUUCCGAAUGAACGGACGCGUCAAAAUAUUUAAUAUCGCACUGAAAAAUUGUUCUAGUUAUGACGGAUCGUCAAGUGGAAUUUCUUGCUAUACUGGUGUCGAUAUGGUUAAUACACGAAGCAAUUAGAAUUGUAAAUAACAUGAAAUGAAUCAAGGUGCAUCACAGUGGACGGAAUAUCGCUGGCCCAUGAAAAUGUGCAUUUUGGGCACGUGUGUCUGGCUUUCCAAUAACGGUGCAUGAUAGACUGUAAUAUUGACGCGAAAGGUGUGACUCCGAUUCCGGUUGCAAUUAAUACAGCAUGUUGUGCUUGGAAUAUGUGACUGGCAGGAGCGCCAUAUGGACCAUCGAGGAAAAUCUAAACAAUCAUUACAAUGCCCUUACUCUUUGGCUUUUAUAAAUUGACGCAUAGUCGAACACCAUGGUCAUUUAUUAUUUUCAUUCUAAAGAGAUUGUUCCUUAGAGCAGUCUAAAAAGUGAUUCCUUCUCAAAAGACAAUUUAUAAAAGCACCGAAUUUUAUAAUCGCAUGUUAGCAUUCUUUCGAGUCGUAACAUUUGAACAAAUUGUUUACCUCCAAUGGCUUCCCUAAAUAAUUCAACGAGGCAACAUCAGAUUUGGCGUCUUCUGUACUUCCGUUUAACGUUUCCUCUAAUCUUAACUUUAAUCUACCUUCUUCCGCUGCUUUUUGCGACGCGACCAAUUUCGUGGCCGAGCACUUGUAUUCGUCCACAUUUACUUCAAAGGUCGCUGUUUUAUAAUAUAAAUAUUAUUUAACAGUUAAUUAUAUAUAAUAUUAUUUAGCAGUUAUUUAUUAUUAUUUAAUUGCUAGAAGAAAGUUCUCUUACAGCCGUUGCUCGUCGAAGAUCCUACUUUGUACACGUUAUUCUCUAAACUCGGAGUCUUGAAAGCAAUUAUCGUCGGCUUAGUUCUCAUAUAGCGGAAACUUUGAGCAAUAUUCUUAUUCUGAGGACUCAAAUAAGCUUGCUCCAGAGACUUCAGUCGUGCACCUAGCAGCUGGCUCUCGUUGAAGUUCCUCUCCGAUUCGGAUCUCGUAUAAUCGCGAAGUCUGUCAGGCACAAAUCAUGCAAAGUUCCUUUUAAUUUAUUAUACUAAAAAAAAAUGAUACUUCGACUUUUGCUUUAUCGAUAAUAGUUUUAGUCGAACUAUUUUACCGAAAAUUCUGUAGAAGGAAACAAAUAUGUACUUUUAUCUUCGACACGAAUUAUGAAGUAAAAAUUCUGACCAAGUUUUUCACGAA